Molecule: long non-coding RNA, 760 nt
Organism: Pelobates fuscus (common spadefoot toad)
Lineage: Eukaryota; Metazoa; Chordata; Amphibia; Anura; Pelobatidae
Exons: 2
Source: RefSeq, a predicted model, not a curated record
CUUUAAUUUCCCUGAAGGUGAAUACAAGAAUUAAAGAUGCUCAAAGAAGUGUUUCCCUGAUAACAGACACAGAGAGCACAGACUGUAUCUGUGCCAGUCGGCACAGUGUGAAUUGACUGACAGAAAGGGGAUAGGCUGUUUUAUAAUCUCUAAUUUUAAAGAAAUGUAGAUAUUUACUAUCAAUUCUGAUAGCACAAUGUAAAGAUUAAAUUUGAUUCUCUACCAUUUUAAAUGAAGUUGUAUUUGCCGUGACAGGUUUCAUUUAAGGUUUAUUUGAAGGUAAACAUUAAUGAGCUUCUCAUCUGCAUUUGUCAUGUUUACCCCAGUGGCAAGGCCUGAAAAUGAAGCUUGAAAAAGAAUCAAAGAAUGGAGCUUUUUAUUGAACAAACGGGGGGUUGUUGAAAUGGGGAGAGAUACAGGACUUGAUGCCUUAGGAAGCUGCUGGUAUGACUGCUUAUUCAGAUUGUUUAGGUAUUUAUAUAACUUACCUCCCAUGAUGUUUUCCUUUAGCACCCUGGCAUUGAAACGGUCGCACAUGUCUGAGCAUUGGUACUAAAAUCUACAGCAAUUGUCUAUGAAGUGGUGGUAAAUUCUGUGGUCUGGACUAAUUCCCAGAAGAAAAUCAUCUUAAAUCUGAUAUGAACAUUUUAAAUUCGGAGGGCAGGAUUUUUGUUCAUUUUGAUUUGUCUAGUGGAGAAAUAACAUUGUAACACAUUCACUGUACUAGUACUUUGCUGCAUUAUCAAAUGUAUCAUUUUUU